UGCUGUUUUACAGGAUGACCUGACACCACUGUUACUUGCCAGAAGGAACAACAGGCAGCUAAUGGCAGACUUUUUAAAGGAAAAACAGGCACAUAUGCCUACAGUUGAGAAGACGAAAAGCGAACACAAAGACGAAAGGAGACGUGAAAGACCUUUUCAAACUACCAGCCUGGCGAAGACUUCUGAUUGUGAAACAUCAGCUGUCUACUCAGCAGAAGAAAAAGAUGCACAGUCUCUUGAUACAGAGGAAGGGGUGACACAGCCAGAAAUUCAAAAAGAAGAGACUGGUAUGGAGACAGAUGCAGGUGACGAAGGUGCUCCAGUGGAGCCAACAGAUGAGAAGAAAUGGACCUCCGUGGAUGGAACACACACACCUGACAUGGCUGUGAAAUUACAAGAUCUAUGGAGUUUCAUUUUUUUCAUAUCUGUGCUUAUGAGCUGGUCUGGGCAAGGGAAGGGUACAGCUGAGUGCUACAUGGAUCGCAUGAUUUGGAUACAGGAGUUCCUGAGUUGAAUCCCUAGUAUCUCCAUUAAAAACAAAAAUUGAAAAGCUAAUGUAAUAUAUCUGAAGUCUGUAGCUCCAGAUACCAUAUCCAUUAGUGUUCCUUUUCCAUUUCUGAACUACUGUAAUACAUAGCCAGGAAAUGAACGUGGUUUUCAUAAAGAAAGUGCUUCUUCCCUGUGAAAUUCUUUUGGGCCACGUCAACUUACAGAAAAAUUCUUCAGAGGAGUUAGACUGCACGUGUGUGUGUGUGUAGAGUUCAAAGCGGUCAGUGUUGUCAUUAAUAUCUGUGUGACUGCACCCUCUAGGUGAAGCGUCACCUUUCCCCUCGGGACCGGAGGAAGACGCACACAGCCCUGGUGAGGAGUAAGUUUCAACACAGCAGGAAAAUGCAGUGGAAUAUGUUACUCAUUCCCUUGAAGAUGCUGCUGAGGAAUCAAUUGUGCAGGAGGAAAUCGCAUUUUAUGAAGGAAUUUUUAUGUUUAUAUUUUUUUUCUCUAGCGUCGUUUUGAUUUUUAUUGUAUUAUAUAAACCUACCAUUGAUGAAUUGUGGCGGGUGUUAGUGUUAUAUCCUGCAUUGUAUCCAUUUCUUAAUUGAUUCCCCCUCGAUUCAUUAAACCCAUCUUUAUGGCUCAAAAA
Molecule: non-coding RNA, 1141 nt
Organism: Vicugna pacos (alpaca)
Lineage: Eukaryota; Metazoa; Chordata; Mammalia; Artiodactyla; Camelidae
Source: RefSeq, a predicted model, not a curated record